UAUCUCUGUAGAGUCUGCAUAUCAAUAAGCGGAGGAAAAGAAACUAACUAGGAUUCCCUCAGUAACGGCGAGUGAAGCGGGAAGAGCUCAAAUUUGAAAUCUUCAAGGUUUUACCUUGACGAAUUGUAGUUUAAAGAAGUGUUUUCUGUUGGAGUUUUGGUAAAAGUUCUUUGGAAUAGGACAUCAUAGAGGGUGAGAAUCCCGUAUUUGACCAUUAUUUCCAGCUUUGUGAUACACUUUCAAAGAGUCGGAUUGUUUGGGAAUGCAGUCCAAAAUGGGUGGUAAAUUUCAUCUAAAGCUAAAUACUGGCGAGAGACCGAUAGCGAACAAGUACCGUGAGGGAAAGAUGAAAAGAACUUUGAAAAGAGAGUUAAACAGUACGUGAAAUUGUCAAAAGGGAAGCGUUUGACACCAGUGUUGCUUUUCUCGAAAAUCAAUUAAAAAUGGCGGGAUUUUGUGUUGUAUUGACUUUAUCAGCUUUCUGCACUCUUUUCCUGUCUUUUUUAAUGCACUUUUCGUUUAACAAGUCAACAUCAAUUUCUUUUGUUGUAAAAGAGUCAUUGGAAGGUGGCUUUCUUUUCGGAGAAAGUGUUUAUAGCCUUUGGCUUCUGCAAUCGGAGAGAUUGAGGUCUGCAGCGUAGAUCCUUCGGGGUUAGAUACAUUUGUGCUAAGUUAUAGCCUUUCAUAGACAACUUGUUGACUAUGAUCAGUCAUGUAGCUUACUCGCUUAUGCUAUUUUACCUACGCUUAGGAUGUUGAGUCAUCACACAUCUCU
Molecule: ribosomal RNA, 775 nt
Filed under: uncultured Neocallimastigales
Lineage: Eukaryota; Fungi; Neocallimastigomycota; Neocallimastigomycetes; Neocallimastigales
Description: partial large subunit ribosomal RNA
Rfam family: Eukaryotic large subunit ribosomal RNA
Source: RNAcentral